This 69-nucleotide transfer RNA is filed under the name Oryzaephilus surinamensis (saw-toothed grain beetle). RNAcentral describes it as "tRNA-Arg". The record is from RNAcentral. Lineage: Eukaryota; Metazoa; Arthropoda; Insecta; Coleoptera; Silvanidae.
AAAUAAGAAGUAAAAAAGAUUACAUUUAGUUUCGACCUAAACUUUUGGCAAAGGCCCUGCCCUUAUUUU